Molecule: long non-coding RNA, 368 nt
Filed under: Homo sapiens (human)
Lineage: Eukaryota; Metazoa; Chordata; Mammalia; Primates; Hominidae
Description: testis expressed 41
Source: RNAcentral
GCUGUAUCGAUUGUUGAGAUCUGGCGACUUGUUUAAAUUUCAUCAGCCUCACUUCUAUGAACUCUCAGGCCUCACGUGUACCAGCUCUCUGCUCUCCUUUGCCUUGGGACGUUCCAUCCCUGGAAGUUUCCCUGCCCACAUCUUUGUAGAGAGUCCAUUCUCCAAGCUUCAGUGUGUCAUCUGUGAGGACCGUGACCCACCUGGUACAUCGCCUCAGGGCAUUCAUUUCAGGCUCCUUCUAAAUGGCCAAGGCACCCUUGGAAAUGCAAUGCUACAUCUCAAUGGGAUUUUCCAGUACAAAGAUUCUUUUCAAAUAACAUAAUUGUGGAUACACACCACUCCUACAGUGGUAAACCUCAGGUUCUCCU